This 249-nucleotide long non-coding RNA is filed under the name Ananas comosus (pineapple). RNAcentral describes it as "long non-coding RNA (ACOM_LNC015653)". The record is from RNAcentral. Lineage: Eukaryota; Viridiplantae; Streptophyta; Magnoliopsida; Poales; Bromeliaceae.
AGAGAGAGAGUGUGUGUUAAGCUAGAAUACUCUCAAAAGUAUCAAGACGUUGGUGCUUUUAGAUCUGUAGCCUUUGGAUGUAGUGAUUUAGGGAUAGGAUGAUGAUGAUAGGUGGUAAGUAGGUGGAAUAGUGUUUGAUCCAAAAACUAUUAAUAGUCAAAAAAUAGAUCUAGGGGUUAGAAAUCUAAAAACACGAAGGGAUUGGUGUUUCUAGGUAUAUUCUAACUCAUAUAUAUAUAUAUAUAUAUA